This 495-nucleotide ribosomal RNA is filed under the name uncultured bacterium. Its description in RNAcentral is "partial 16S ribosomal RNA". It matches the Rfam family "Bacterial small subunit ribosomal RNA", at positions 28 to 505 of the family's 1533-position model. The record is from RNAcentral.
GAUGAACGCUGGCGGCGUGCCUAAUACAUGCAAGUCGAGCGAACGGACGAGAAGCUUGCUUCUCUGAUGUUAGCGGCGGACGGGUGAGUAACACGUGGAUAACCUACCUAUAAGACUGGGAUAACUUCGGGAAACCGGAGCUAAUACCGGAUAAUAUUUUGAACCGCAUGGUUCAAAAGUGAAAGACGGUCUUGCUGUCACUUAUAGAUGGAUCCGCGCUGCAUUAGCUAGUUGGUAAGGUAACGGCUUACCAAGGCAACGAUGCAUAGCCGACCUGAGAGGGUGAUCGGCCACACUGGAACUGAGACACGGUCCAGACUCCUACGGGAGGCAGCAGUAGGGAAUCUUCCGCAAGGGGCGAAAGCCUGACGGAGCAACGCCGCGUGAGUGAUGAAGGUCUUCGGAUCGUAAAACUCUGUUAUUAGGGAAGAACAUAUGUGUAAGUAACUGUGCACAUCGUGACGGUACCUAAUCAGAAAGCCACGGCUAACGACG